AGAGCGCAAGACUCUUAAUCUUGUGGUCGUGGGUUCGAUCCCCACGGUGGGCA
This is a transfer RNA of 53 nucleotides. It matches the Rfam family "tRNA", at positions 20 to 71 of the family's 71-position model. Rfam says of the family: Transfer RNA (tRNA) molecules are approximately 80 nucleotides in length. Their secondary structure includes four short double-helical elements and three loops (D, anti-codon, and T loops). The record is from Rfam.